UUCUACACAAUUGAAAGAGAAGAAGGAAUC
Molecule: non-coding RNA, 30 nt
Filed under: Rattus norvegicus (Norway rat)
Lineage: Eukaryota; Metazoa; Chordata; Mammalia; Rodentia; Muridae
Source: RNAcentral